Molecule: non-coding RNA, 71 nt
Organism: Phrynosoma platyrhinos (Desert horned lizard)
Lineage: Eukaryota; Metazoa; Chordata; Lepidosauria; Squamata; Phrynosomatidae
Source: the annotation of a GenBank genome assembly
GCUAAUGUGGUGUAAUGGCUUGGAUGCUGGACUAGGACUCUGGAGGACAGAGUUCAAAUCCCUGCUCAGCC